This 55-nucleotide transfer RNA is filed under the name Halocynthia aurantium. RNAcentral describes it as "tRNA-Val". Lineage: Eukaryota; Metazoa; Chordata; Ascidiacea; Stolidobranchia; Pyuridae. The record is from RNAcentral.
UUAAUUAAAACGUUACUCUUACAAAGUAAAGAUUUACAUUUUUGUGUUCGUUGAA